UGAAUACGAGACGCUAAGGCGUCGAAGUAGUGUAUGUCAUACUUCCAAGAAAAGCUUGCACUGUCAUAGAUAAAAAACGCCUGUACCAUAACCGACACAGGUGGGUAGGUAGAGUAUACUAAGGGGCGCGAGAUAACUCUCUCUAAGGAACUCGGCAAAAUAACUCCGUAACUUCGGGAGAAGGAGUGCCUUAUUCGUAAGGUUGCAAUAACAAGAUCCAAGCAACUGUUUAUCAAAAACACAGGUCUCCGCUAAGUCGUAAGACGAUGUAUGGGGGCUGACGCCUGCCCAGUGCCAGAAGGUUAAAGAAGUUGGUUAGCAAUUGCGAAGCUGAUAACUGAAGCCCUGGUGAACGGCGGCCGUAACUAUAACGGUCCUAAGGUAGCGAAAUUCCUUGUCGGGUAAGUUCCGACCCGCACGAAAGGCGUAAUGAUUUGGAUACUGUCUCGGAGAGGGGCUCGGUGAAAUAGACUUGUCUGUGAAGAUGCGGUCUACCUGCACCAGGACAGAAAGACCCUAUGAAGCUUUACUGUAACUUGAAAUUGAAAUUGGACUUUAUUCGCGCAGUAUAGGUGGGAGGCGUUGAUUAUAAUCUUGUGGGAUUAUUGGAGCCAUCAGUGAGAUACCACUCUUGUAAUGUUAGAUUUCUAACUUUGAAUCAUUAUCUGGUCAAAGAACAGUUUCAGGCGGGCAGUUUGACUGGGGCGGUCGCCUCCUAAACGGUAACGGAGGCGUACAAAGGUUUCCUCUGAACGGUUAGAAAUCGUAUCUAGAGUGUAAAGGCAUAAGGAAGCUUGACUGUGAGACCUACAAGUCGAGCAGGGACGAAAGUCGGUCUUAGUGAUCUGACGGUACUGAGUGGAAAGGCCGUCACUCAACGGAUAAAAGUUACUCUAGGAUAACAGGCUGAUCUCCCCCAAGAGUUCACAUCGACGGGGAGGUUUGGCACCUCGAUGUCGGCUCAUCGCAUCCUGGGGCGGUAGUACGUCCCAAGGGUUGGGCUGUUCGCCCAUGAAAGCGGUACGCGAGCUGGGUUCAGAACGUCGUGAGACAGUUCGGUCCAUAUCCGGUGUAGGCGUUAGAAUAUUGAGAGGAGCCUUCUUUAGUACGAGAGGACCGAGAAGGACAUACCUCUGGUGUACCAGUUAUCGUGCCAACGGUAAACGCUGGGUAGCUAUGUAUGGAGUGGAUAACCGCUGAAAGCAUCUAAGUGGGAAGCCCCCCUCAAGAUAAGUAUUCUCAUCA
Molecule: ribosomal RNA, 1245 nt
Filed under: metagenome
Description: bacterial LSU rRNA
Rfam family: Bacterial large subunit ribosomal RNA
Source: RNAcentral